This 45-nucleotide non-coding RNA is filed under the name Schistosoma haematobium. The record is from RNAcentral. Lineage: Eukaryota; Metazoa; Platyhelminthes; Trematoda; Strigeidida; Schistosomatidae.
AUCCAGCUGACGGGUCCCAAAUACGACGAAACGCGCGUCCUGGAU